UGAUUAUUUAAUCAUAAUUGAGGAGGAUUGCACCAUGAAAUUUCUUUUGGGAAAAUGACGUUGAAUAGCGAGAACAUGACAUCUUUGUUCGAUUAUAUUAAAAAUAAGAUUUUUAAUAGACUUCAAAAAAAGUUGAUGAAAUAAAUGUUUAAAAGUUGAUAAAAUUUGUAAAUCUUAUGAAAUGUGUAAUUAAAAUUAAUUGUUAACUUAGAUUUAAUUUUUUAUUUUUUUUUAUUAUUAUUUUUUUUUUUUACUAUAGCAAACAAGGACUCCAUUCCACUUUGGUCUUCAAGUCGCUUUGGAUUCCAUCUGACUUUGGUCUUCAAGGACCUCAGUUUCAGUAAACUUCCUACCGCAGAACGUUAUCCAACUUUUUGCCAAAACAUGUGGAGAUAAAAGAAGGAAAAUAUAGUUCUUGGAAAAUCCCAACUCCCAAAUUUUUCUUAUAUUUUUUUAAUUUAUAAGAAAUAGUUUUAUUAGUUGGUGUAUAAGAUAAAGACAUUCCAUUCUAGUAACAUCAUACUAAGCCCCUGUUUGAUAGAAUUUUUUUUUUUUCAAAUAGUUAUUUUUUUUUUUAAGAAUAUGGUCAAAAAGUAUGAAAAAAUUUUGGGUUUAUGUAAAGAAUAUUUUAUUGUGAGAAUAUCUAGUUAAAAAUAAGUAUUAGAAAAAAAGUUUUAAACAAAUAGUCUCUAUCUCACCACUAUUGAGUUGAUCAACUCCCUGAU
RNAcentral lists this long non-coding RNA (725 nucleotides) under Olea europaea subsp. europaea. The record is from RNAcentral. Lineage: Eukaryota; Viridiplantae; Streptophyta; Magnoliopsida; Lamiales; Oleaceae.